RNAcentral lists this ribosomal RNA (441 nucleotides) under uncultured bacterium. RNAcentral describes it as "partial 16S ribosomal RNA". It matches the Rfam family "Bacterial small subunit ribosomal RNA", at positions 338 to 795 of the family's 1533-position model. The record is from RNAcentral.
CCUACGGGUGGCAGCAGUGGGGAAUAUUGCGCAAUGGGGGAAACCCUGACGCAGCAACGCCGCGUGAGUGAAGACGUAUCUCGGUAUGUAAAGCUCUAUCAGCGGGGAAGAAGGAAGACGGUACCCGACUAAGAAGCCCCGGCUAACUACGUGCCAGCAGCCGCGGUAAUACGUAGGGGGCUAGCGUUAUCCGGAUUUACUGGGUGUAAAGGUAGAGUAGACGGCGUCGCAAGUCUGAAGUGAAAGCCCGUGGCUCAACCGCGGAACCGCUUUGGAAACUGCGAGGCUUGAGUGCUGGAGAGGUAAGCGGAAUGCCUGGGGUAGCGGUGAAAUGCGUAGAUAGCAGGAGGAACACCGGUGGCGAAGGCGGCUUACUGGACAGUGACUGACGUUGAGGCUCGAAAGCGUGGGGAGCGAACAGGAUUAGAUACCCGGGUAGUC